GUGGUUAUAGCUCAGUUGAGACAGCGUCAGACUGAAGAUCUGAAAGUCGCGUGCUUGAUCCACACAAACUGCA
This 73-nucleotide transfer RNA is filed under the name Morus notabilis. It matches the Rfam family "tRNA". From Rfam's summary of the family: Transfer RNA (tRNA) molecules are approximately 80 nucleotides in length. Their secondary structure includes four short double-helical elements and three loops (D, anti-codon, and T loops). The record is from Rfam by way of RNAcentral. Lineage: Eukaryota; Viridiplantae; Streptophyta; Magnoliopsida; Rosales; Moraceae.